RNAcentral lists this ribosomal RNA (403 nucleotides) under uncultured bacterium. Its description in RNAcentral is "partial 16S ribosomal RNA". It matches the Rfam family "Bacterial small subunit ribosomal RNA", at positions 30 to 526 of the family's 1533-position model. The record is from RNAcentral.
AUUGAACGCUGGCGGCAGGCCUAACACAUGCAAGUCGAGCGAGCAGCGGACGGGUGAGUAAUGUAUGGGGACUGCCCGAUAGAGGGGGCUAACUACUGGAAACGGUAGCUAAUAACGCAUACUAUCGGAUAACCCAUAUUGGAUUAGCUAGUAGGUGAGGGAAUGGCUGACCUAGGCGAAGAUCCCUAGCUGGACUGAGAGGAUGAUCAGCCACACUGUGACUGAGGCACGGCCCAGACUCCGACGGGGGCAGCAGUGGGGAAUAUUGCACAAGGGGCGAAAGCCUGAUGCAGCCAUGCGGCGUGUAUGAAGAAGGCCCGAGGGUUGUAAAGUACUUUCAGUCGGGAUGCGUUACCAACAGAAGAAGCACCGGCUAACUCCGUGCCAGCAGCCGCGGUAAUUC